GUGUCAGCAGCCGCGGUAAUACGGAGGGUGCAAGCGUUAUCCGGAUUUACUGGGUUUAAAGGGUGUGUAGGCGGACUUUUAAGUCAGCGGUGAAAUCUCCGGGCUCAACCCGGAAACUGCCAUUGAUACUAUUGGUCUUGAAUGUUGUUGAGGUGGGCGGAACGGGUCAUGUAGCGGUGAAAUGCAUAGAUAUGACCCGGAACACCGAUUGCGUAGGCAGCCCACUAAGCAACGAUUGACGCUGAGGCACGAAAGCGUGGGGAUCAAACAGGAUUAGAUACCCUGGUAGUCC
Molecule: ribosomal RNA, 292 nt
Filed under: uncultured bacterium
Lineage: Bacteria
Description: partial 16S ribosomal RNA
Rfam family: Bacterial small subunit ribosomal RNA
Source: RNAcentral